This 460-nucleotide ribosomal RNA is filed under the name uncultured bacterium. Its description in RNAcentral is "partial 16S ribosomal RNA". It matches the Rfam family "Bacterial small subunit ribosomal RNA", at positions 338 to 795 of the family's 1533-position model. The record is from RNAcentral.
CCUACGUGUGGCAGCAGUGAGGAAUAUUGGUCAAUGGACGGAAGUCUGACCCAGCCAUGCCGCGUGCAUGAAGACGGCUCUCUGAGUUGUAAGCUGCUUUUGUACUGGGGUAAACCUUGAUACGUGUCUUCCGCUACACGUACUUUACGAAUAAGGAUCGGCGAACUCCGUUCCAGCAGCCGCGGUAAUACGGAGGAUCCACGCGUUAUCCGGAUUUAUUGGGUUGAAGGGGAGCGUAGGUGGGUUGUUAAGUCAGUUGUGAACGUUUGCGGCUUAACCGUAAAAGUGCAGUUGAAACUGGCAGGCUUGAGUACAGUAGAGGUGAGUGGAAUUCGUGGUGUAGCGGUGAAAUGCGUAGAUAUCACGAAGAACUCCGAUUGCGAAGGCAGUUCACUGGACUGUAACUGACACUGAGGCUCGAAAGUGUGGGUAUCAAACAGGAUUAGAUACCCCGGUAGUC